Non-coding RNA from Myotis davidii, 71 nucleotides. The record is from Rfam. Lineage: Eukaryota; Metazoa; Chordata; Mammalia; Chiroptera; Vespertilionidae.
GGCAGUUCUUGGAUGACUCAUCCUGGAAUCAGGCUCCCUCCUCUCUACAUGUGCGUCACCCGAGAACCGCA